Molecule: ribosomal RNA, 496 nt
Filed under: uncultured bacterium
Lineage: Bacteria
Description: partial 16S ribosomal RNA
Rfam family: Bacterial small subunit ribosomal RNA
Source: RNAcentral
GAUGAACGCUGGCGGCGUGCCUAAUACAUGCAAGUCGAGCGAACAGAUGAGGAGCUUGCCCUCUGACGUUAGCGGCGGCCGGGUGAGUAACCCGUGGAUAACCUACCUAUAAGACUGGGAUAACUUCGGGAAACCGGAGCUAAUACCGGAUAAUAUAUUUAACCGCAUGGUUCAAUAGUGAAAGACGGUUUUGCUGUCACUUAUAGAUGGAUCCGCGCCGCAUUAGCUAGUUGGUAAGGUAACGGCUUACCAAGGCAACGAUGCGUAGCCGACCUGAGAGGGUGAUCGGCCACACUGGAACUGAGACACGGUCCAGACUCCUACGGGAGGCAGCAGUAGGGAAUCUUCCGCAAUGGGCGAAAGCCUGACGGAGCAACGCCGCGUGAGUGAUGAAGGUCUUCGGAUCGUAAAACUCUGUUAUUAGGGAAGAACAAAUGUGUAAGUAACUAUGCACGUCUUGACGGUACCUAAUCAGAAAGCCACGGCUAACUACGUG